This 465-nucleotide ribosomal RNA is filed under the name Vreelandella stevensii. RNAcentral describes it as "partial 16S ribosomal RNA". It matches the Rfam family "Bacterial small subunit ribosomal RNA", at positions 338 to 795 of the family's 1533-position model. The record is from RNAcentral. Lineage: Bacteria; Pseudomonadati; Pseudomonadota; Gammaproteobacteria; Oceanospirillales; Halomonadaceae.
CCUACGGGGGGCUGCAGUGGGGAAUAUUGGACAAUGGGGGCAACCCUGAUCCAGCCAUGCCGCGUGUGUGAAGAAGGCCCUCGGGUUGUAAAGCACUUUCAGUGAGGAAGAACGCCUGGUGGUUAAUACCCAUCAGGAAAGACAUCACUCACAGAAGAAGCACCGGCUAACUCCGUGCCAGCAGCCGCGGUAAUACGGAGGGUGCGAGCGUUAAUCGGAAUUACUGGGCGUAAAGCGCGCGUAGGUGGCUUGAUAAGCCGGUUGUGAAAGCCCCGGGCUCAACCUGGGAACGGCAUCCGGAACUGUCAAGCUAGAGUGCAGGAGAGGAAGGUAGAAUUCCCGGUGUAGCGGUGAAAUGCGUAGAGAUCGGGAGGAAUACCAGUGGCGAAGGCGGCCUUCUGGACUGACACUGACACUGAGGUGCGAAAGCGUGGGUAGCAAACAGGCUUAGAUACCCCGGUAGUC